GGCGGAGGGAAGCUCAUCGUUGGGGCUACAAGCUGAGUGCGUCACGUCACUCCCCAGCCCAGCCCUUGGGAAGGUCUGAGACGAGGGCCAAUAGCGGCCCUAGCAGGGCUCCUCCCGCGAUUGUGGGGGGGUGAGUUCCCAGAAAAUGGGGCCCGGUUUGGGGGUAAGACUGGGCAGGAGAAGCCCAUGCGUACCACACCCCCGGGUGUGGCCUGGGCGGAUGCCUCCCUCGACCGGGCUUGGAAACGACUCACGGCCAGCGAAGUGAGUGCAAUGGCUGAGGUGGGUUACCUCCUCGAGGAUCCCAUAACCCAAUUCAGACUACUCUCCCCCGCC
Ribozyme from Monodelphis domestica (gray short-tailed opossum), 336 nucleotides. It matches the Rfam family "Nuclear RNase P". Rfam says of the family: Ribonuclease P (RNase P) is a ubiquitous endoribonuclease, found in archaea, bacteria and eukarya as well as chloroplasts and mitochondria. Its best characterised activity is the generation of mature 5'-ends of tRNAs by cleaving the 5'-leader elements of precursor-tRNAs. Cellular RNase Ps are ribonucleoproteins. The record is from Ensembl. NCBI's taxonomy places the organism in Eukaryota, Metazoa, Chordata, Mammalia, Didelphimorphia, Didelphidae.